RNAcentral lists this ribosomal RNA (1372 nucleotides) under uncultured bacterium. RNAcentral describes it as "bacterial SSU rRNA". It matches the Rfam family "Bacterial small subunit ribosomal RNA", at positions 28 to 1381 of the family's 1533-position model. The record is from RNAcentral.
GAUGAACGCUGGCGGCGUGCCUAAUACAUGCAAGUCGAGCGAACGGACGAGAAGCUUGCUUCUCUGAUGUUAGCGGCGGACGGGUGAGUAACACGUGGAUAACCUACCUAUAAGACUGGGAUAACUUCGGGAAACCGGAGCUAAUACCGGAUAAUAUUUUGAACCGCAUGGUUCAAAAGUGAAAGACGGUCUUGCUGUCACUUAUAGAUGGAUCCGCGCUGCAUUAGCUAGUUGGUAAGGUAACGGCUUACCAAGGCAACGAUGCAUAGCCGACCUGAGAGGGUGAUCGGCCACACUGGAACUGAGACACGGUCCAGACUCCUACGGGAGGCAGCAGUAGGGAAUCUUCCGCAAUGGGCGAAAGCCUGACGGAGCAACGCCGCGUGAGUGACGAAGGUCUUCGGAUCGUAAAACUCUGUUAUUAGGGAAGAACAUAUGUGUAAGUAACUGUGCACAUCUUGACGGUACCUAAUCAGAAAGCCACGGCUAACUACGUGCCAGCAGCCGCGGUAAUACGUAGGUGGCAAGCGUUAUCCGGAAUUAUUGGGCGUAAAGCGCGCGUAGGCGGUUUUUUAAGUCUGAUGUGAAAGCCCACGGCUCAACCGUGGAGGGUCAUUGGAAACUGGAAAACUUGAGUGCAGAAGAGGAAAGUGGAAUUCCAUGUGUAGCGGUGAAAUGCGCAGAGAUAUGGAGGAACACCAGUGGCGAAGGCGACUUUCUGGUCUGUAACUGACGCUGAUGUGCGAAAGCGUGGGGAUCAAACAGGAUUAGAUACCCUGGUAGUCCACGCCGUAAACGAUGAGUGCUAAGUGUUAGGGGGUUUCCGCCCCUUAGUGCUGCAGCUAACGCAUUAAGCACUCCGCCUGGGGAGUACGACCGCAAGGUUGAAACUCAAAGGAAUUGGCGGGGACCCGCACAAGCGGUGGAGCAUGUGGUUUAAUUCGAAGCAACGCGAAGAACCUUACCAAAUCUUGACAUCCUUUGACAACUCUAGAGAUAGAGCCUUCCCCUUCGGGGGACAAAGUGACAGGUGGUGCAUGGUUGUCGUCAGCUCGUGUCGUGAGAUGUUGGGUUAAGUCCCGCAACGAGCGCAACCCUUAAGCUUAGUUGCCAUCAUUAAGUUGGGCACUCUAAGUUGACUGCCGGUGACAAACCGGAGGAAGGUGGGGAUGACGUCAAAUCAUCAUGCCCCUUAUGAUUUGGGCUACACACGUGCUACAAUGGACAAUACAAAGGGCAGCGAAACCGCGAGGUCAAGCAAAUCCCAUAAAGUUGUUCUCAGUUCGGAUUGUAGUCUGCAACUCGACUACAUGAAGCUGGAAUCGCUAGUAAUCGUAGAUCAGCAUGCUACGGUGAAUACGUUCCCGGGUCU